This 253-nucleotide ribosomal RNA is filed under the name uncultured bacterium. RNAcentral describes it as "partial 16S ribosomal RNA". It matches the Rfam family "Bacterial small subunit ribosomal RNA", at positions 524 to 776 of the family's 1533-position model. The record is from RNAcentral.
UACGAAGGGGGCGAGCGUUGUUCGGAUUUACUGGGCGUAAAGGGCGCGCAGGCGGCUCAUUUUGUCAGGCGUGAAAGCCCCGGGCUUAACCUGGGAACUGCGUUUGAUACGGAUGGGCUAGAGUUCGGGAGAGGAGAGUGGAAUUCCCAGUGUAGAGGUGAAAUUCGUAGAUAUUGGGAAGAACACCGGUGGCGAAGGCGGCUCUCUGGACCGAUACUGACGCUGAGGCACGAAAGCGUGGGGAGCAAACAGG